Molecule: long non-coding RNA, 1828 nt
Filed under: Homo sapiens (human)
Lineage: Eukaryota; Metazoa; Chordata; Mammalia; Primates; Hominidae
Description: HSALNT0333224
Source: RNAcentral
CAAUGGAAGCAGUUGUGGAAAACUGCUUUAAAUGUCAUAGAGCACUCAGAAGGAAUUCAUAAAUGACCUCAUAAAGAAGUCCACUGUGGUUUCCCUGCAGAGGUGGGAAUAGAAUCAGAGUGCUAAGGAUUGAGGGAUUAAGAGGAGGUGAUUGUAUUAUUCCUCUUUUCAGAUAAUGGAGAGAGAGAAGAGAACAGCAGUAGCCGUUGCCAGAAAUAUUGAGCAAGGCGGAUUUAUUAGAUGAAGAUAUCAAAAUACUUUCCAUUGAGGAAACAGGUUGGAGGUGGGAGGCUGUAACCAUGCUUGAUUUUGUACCACCCUAACCUUUGCUUGAUCCAGGUUCCAGUCCAAUAUGCACCAUUCAGCCUGGUUGCAGCAUGUUAAGCAGCCCUGGAGGCAGCAGAUGAGGGAUCCUAUGAAGCAACUUUCAGACAUUCAGAACCAAGACAAAAAAAAAGAGAAUUAAAGUAAAAUAUGAUGUACCCAGGAGUUACAUCAGUGAACCAAAUACAGCCUCAAAUUUCGAUCUGUGCUUCACAGCAGCCAGCAAAAAGAACAAAACAUAUUUUGUUAGUUCAUAUAAAUAAAUAAAUUAAAAAUGCAUGAAUAAAUAAAUAAAGCAAACCAGUUUCUCGAUUCUGAAAUAUUUUCUGGAAGUGAGAACUGAAAGGAAUUUCCACCAUGGACCCACAAGCAGUUGUUGGUGGCAUAUAUAAUGAGUGCUGGGUGUUAAGGAAGCAAUGGUGAAGGAGAGACACCCUCCCGACCCUCAUGGUGCUUGCAGCCUAGUGGAGCUAUGAAAAGAUAGGCAAGUGAGUCCUAUGAUUGGAGAAGUAAUGAGAAGUAAUGAGAAGCGUCUUCUAAGCAUAGGGGUAAAGACUGCAAAGACCCUGAAGGGAGAAAGUAAUGGCCAUUCUGAGAACUGAAAGUUUGCACAGUGCACAGAGGGCAUGAAGAACGAAGGAAAGAGAUUUUUUUUUUUUUUUUUUUGCCCAAGAUGGCAAGUUGCUUAAAACCUAAAGCUCCUUUCAAUUCUUUACAAUCCAAGAUUAUAUGGAAUGGACUGGGAACAAAGAGAGGGACUGGCAUUUAAAGUCUUUUAUACACUUUGGAACAAAUGUUAUUCUCCAUUCAUCCUGACACUAAAUUGGUUAGCCAAACCCAAAGAUCUACUAAUAAUCCUGCUUUGGCAUGGGAGAAUGAGUGAGAUAAGGAGGCAAUAGAGGAGAUGAAUCGACAAAUGGAAGGAAUAGAAUUCUGGUUGAUGUCCUUGUCUCUAAGCUGUAGCAGCAAAUGUUUCAAUUCAUGCCAUCACAUCUUUGAAAACUGGCAAUUCAACCUUGCCUUGAGCAUUUCCAUGUACAGGAAACACAUGAUCUCUUAAGGAGUCCAUUUCACCGUCAGACGGUUCUGAAGGAUGUGAGUGGUUCUCAACAUUGAAACCAGUGCUGGCUCCUGGUUUGAAUUUCUGUAGCCACUCCAGUCUCGUUCUUGUGCUCACCAUUCCUCCAAAUUGGCCGCCUAUGACUUCUAUGACAAUAAAUCCAAUGGACCCUUGCCAAGCUUAUCAUAUUUUCUCAGCAGCAUUUGACCCAGUUGGCAUUCUUGACUUCUUCAAGGCUCCUUCUGUCCUUGAUUCCCACUAUGUCACUUUCUCCUGGAUGCCUGCCUAUGUCUCUGGGCAUGGCUUCCCCAUCUCCUUUGCCAAUGUAUCUACCUCAAUUCCAAAAACAAUCAUAACCUCCAGAAAUGCUUUGUCCCACACAAAAUAUUUACCUAAAUGUUAAAGUUUUCUUUAGGCUUCCAGUCAGUUUACUCAGGAGUUGAU